Piliocolobus tephrosceles (Ugandan red Colobus) is the source of this 957-nucleotide RNA transcript. It is a transcript of the gene named ADP/ATP translocase 2 pseudogene, with no coding region annotated. NCBI's taxonomy places the organism in Eukaryota, Metazoa, Chordata, Mammalia, Primates, Cercopithecidae. The transcript has a single exon. The record is from RefSeq and is a predicted model, not a curated record.
GCAGCGCCGGAGUCAAAGCCAGUUCCCGGCCCAGUCCCGUCCCGCAGCAGCCCGCCUCUUCUUUCCUUUCAACAUGACAGAUGCCGCUGUGUCCUUCGCCAAGGACUUCCUGGCAGGUGGAGUGGCCGCAGCCAUCUCCAAGACGGCGGUACCGCCCAUCGAGCGGGUCAAGCUGCUGCUGCAGGUGCAGCAUGCCAGCAAGCAGAUCACUGCAGAUAAGCAAUACAAAGGCAUUAUAGACUGCGUGGUCCGUAUUCCCAAGGAGCAGGGAGUUCUGUCCUUCUGGCGCGGUAACCUGGCCAAUGUCAUCAGAUACUUCCCCACCCAGGCUCUUAACUUCGCCUUCAAAGAUAAAUACAAGCAGAUCUUCCUGGGUGGUGUGGACAAGAGGACCCAGUUUUGGCGCUACUUUGCAGGGAAUCUGGCAUCGGGUGGUGCCGCAGGGGCCACAUCCCUGUGUUUUGUGUACCCUCUUGAUUUUGCCCGUACCCGUCUAGCAGCUGAUGUGGGUAAAGCUGGAGCUGAAAGGGAAUUCCGAGGCCUCGGUGACUGCCUGGUUAAUAUCUACAAAUCUGAUGUGAUUAAGGGCCUGUACCAAGGCUUUAACGUGUCUGUGCAGGGUAUUAUCAUCUACCGAGCCGCCUACUUCGGUAUCUAUGACACUGCAAAGGGAAUGCUUCCGGAUCCCAAGAACACUCACAUCGUCAUCAGCUGGAUGAUCGCACAGACUGUCACUGCUGUUGCUGGGUUGACUUCCUAUCCAUUUGACACUGUUCGCCGCCGCAUGAUGAUGCGGUCAGGGCGCAAAGGAACUGACAUCAUGUACACAGGCAGGCUUGACUGCUGGAGGAAGAUAGCUCGUGAUGAAGGAGGCAAAGCUUUUUUCAAGGGUGCAUGGUCCAAUGUUCUCAGAGGCAUGUGUUUGUCUUGUAUGAGGAAAUCAAGAAGUACACAUAA